Molecule: ribosomal RNA, 189 nt
Filed under: Flavobacterium sp. Root420
Lineage: Bacteria; Pseudomonadati; Bacteroidota; Flavobacteriia; Flavobacteriales; Flavobacteriaceae
Description: partial 16S ribosomal RNA
Rfam family: Bacterial small subunit ribosomal RNA
Source: RNAcentral
UAUACGAUGAAGAGUUUGAUCCUGGCUCAGGAUGAACGCUAGCGGCAGGCUUAACACAUGCAAGUCGAGGGGUAUAAGUCUUCGGAUUUAGAGACCGGCGCACGGGUGCGUAACGCGUAUGCAAUCUACCUUUUACAGAGGGAUAGCCCAGAGAAAUUUGGAUUAAUACCUCAUAGCAUAGCAGCUUCG